This 1174-nucleotide ribosomal RNA is filed under the name 'Brassica napus' phyllody phytoplasma. RNAcentral describes it as "bacterial SSU rRNA". It matches the Rfam family "Bacterial small subunit ribosomal RNA", at positions 186 to 1361 of the family's 1533-position model. The record is from RNAcentral. Lineage: Bacteria; Bacillati; Mycoplasmatota; Mollicutes; Acholeplasmatales; Acholeplasmataceae.
AGGCAUCUUCUUGUUUUUAAAGACCUAGCAAUAGGUAUGCUUAGGGAGGAGCUUGCGUCACAUUAGUUAGUUGGUGGGGUAAAGGCCUACCAAGACUAUGAUGUGUAGCCGGGCUGAGAGGUUGAACGGCCACAUUGGGACUGAGACACGGCCCAAACUCCUACGGGAGGCAGCAGUAGGGAAUUUUCGGCAAUGGAGGAAACUCUGACCGAGCAACGCCGCGUGAACGAUGAAGUAUUUCGGUACGUAAAGUUCUUUUAUUAGGGAAGAAUAAAUGAUGGAAAAAUCAUUCUGACGGUACCUAAUGAAUAAGCCCCGGCUAACUAUGUGCCAGCAGCCGCGGUAAUACAUAGGGGGCAAGCGUUAUCCGGAAUUAUUGGGCGUAAAGGGUGCGUAGGCGGUUAAAUAAGUUUAUGGUCUAAGUGCAAUGCUCAACAUUGUGAUGCUAUAAAAACUGUUUAGCUAGAGUAAGAUAGAGGCAAGUGGAAUUCCAUGUGUAGUGGUAAAAUGCGUAAAUAUAUGGAGGAACACCAGUAGCGAAGGCGGCUUGCUGGGUCUUUACUGACGCUGAGGCACGAAAGCGUGGGGAGCAAACAGGAUUAGAUACCCUGGUAGUCCACGCCGUAAACGAUGAGUACUAAACGUUGGGUAAAACCAGUGUUGAAGUUAACACAUUAAGUACUCCGCCUGAGUAGUACGUACGCAAGUAUGAAACUUAAAGGAAUUGACGGGACUCCGCACAAGCGGUGGAUCAUGUUGUUUAAUUCGAAGGUACCCGAAAAACCUCACCAGGUCUUGACAUGCUUCUGCAAAGCUGUAGAAACACAGUGGAGGUUAUCAGUUGCACAGGUGGUGCAUGGUUGUCGUCAGCUCGUGUCGUGAGAUGUUGGGUUAAGUCCCGCAACGAGCGCAACCCUUAUUGUUAGUUACCAGCACGUAAUGGUGGGGACUUUAGCAAGACUGCCAGUGAUAAAUUGGAGGAAGGUGGGGACGACGUCAAAUCAUCAUGCCCCUUAUGACCUGGGCUACAAACGUGAUACAAUGGCUGUUACAAAGGGUAGCUGAAGCGCAAGUUUUUGGCGAAUCUCAAAAAAACAGUCUCAGUUCGGAUUGAAGUCUGCAACUCGACUUCAUGAAGUUGGAAUCGCUAGUAAUCGCGAAUCAGCAUGUCGCG